RNAcentral lists this ribosomal RNA (433 nucleotides) under uncultured bacterium. RNAcentral describes it as "partial 16S ribosomal RNA". It matches the Rfam family "Bacterial small subunit ribosomal RNA", at positions 38 to 507 of the family's 1533-position model. The record is from RNAcentral.
GGGGGGGGGGGGGGGCGGGCCGGGCGGGGGGGGGGCGGGCGGGACCUUCGGGGCUAGUGGCGCACGGGUGCGUAACGCGUGGGAACCUGCCCUUAGGUUCGGAAUAACUCCCCGAAAGGGGUGCUAAUACCGGAUAAUGUCUUCGGACCAAAGAUUUAUCGCCUUUGGAUGGGCCCGCGUUGGAUUAGCUAGUUGGUAGGGUAAAAGCCUACCAAGGCGACGAUCCAUAGCUGGUCUGAGAGGAUGAUCAGCCACACUGGGACUGAGACACGGCCCAGACUCCUACGGGAGGCAGCAGUGGGGAAUAUUGGACAAUGGGCGAAAGCCUGAUCCAGCAAUGCCGCGUGAGUGAUGAAGGCCUUAGGGUUGUAAAGCUCUUUUACCCGGGAUGAUAAUGACAGUACCGGGAGAAUAAGCUCCGGCUAACUCCGUG